GAGAGAGCACUGACUGUUCUUCCAGGGUCCUGAGUUCAAAUCCCAACAACCACCUGGUGGCUCAAACCCAUCUGUAAUGAGAUCUGAUGCCCUCUUCUGAUGUGUCUGAAGACAGCUACAGUGUACUUACAUAUAAUAAAUAAAUAAAUCUUAAAAAAAGAAAAAAAGAAGGUCUGGAGAGAGGCUCAUUGGUAAGAUCACUUGCUGUAUUUGUAAAGGACCCAGGUUUGGUUCCCAGUUCUCAAGUGAGCCAUAAGUGUCUGUAACUCUAGUUUCAGGGGACCUGACACCCUCUUUUGGUCUCCUUGGACACUAGGUACACAGACAUACACAUAAAUAAAUAAAUAAACUUCUAAAAAAAGUUCCAUUAUGAUACUUAUAAAAUUAAACUGUAAGCAUUUAGGAAUAUUUUAUGCAGUGGCACCAUCAUAAAAGUUAAGUAUGCUACCAAUUUAGGUAUCAGGUAAUGCCAGGUUAAAAGCAAAAGAAAAAUUUCCACUUGUCUCAUUCUUUAUCUCCCAUUCAGAAGGGGUUAGACCCUGUGGUGUGAUUAUGACUCUGUCUCUUGCUCCCUGCACCACUGGGCACCCAACAGUAGCCUCUCACCUGUGAAAUGGAGCUACAUUACUCAGGCAUCAUAGACUUAAUGUUUAAAUGAAUACAAGAUACAUGUCACACUGUCAGACAGACUCAAGGAAAGUUCACAGCUAAUUAUCAUUUCUUAUUGUUACAUUGAAAGAAUUUAUGAGUACAAGGCAAUUCAAAGCUAGCAAUUCAAAUUCAAGUCAGUACAAAAAAAGGAUAUAAAGAUAUUUUCCCUGUUGUGCAUUUGACAAAUUCCAAACUUCAUCAUUAAGGAAAGCCACCGUUGCUCCCUUGAGGAAAAGGCAGUGGCUAUCUGGAGGAUCCAACUUUAUAGAAGAGACAAAGACAAAGCAACCACUAUUAAGUUGAACAGCACAAAGAUGCUCAGACUACAAAGUCUUUAGUACAAAUUAAACAUUGUAGGAAGCAUAGCACUUGCUACAAGCUUAAACAGCCAGUAGUUACCUGCCAUUAGUUAACUCUUAGGUUUCCUUCUCUAUGCUGUGAUGAAGUAGAUAGAACAGGGCAGUUGCAGGGCCGAUCUGGCAUCUGGGGGAGAUGGGGUAAUGUGUUUGAUAGCUUCUCUGUGUGCCUUCUGCCCACUACUGUCAGGCACCUUUGUCUGGACUGGUAUAUUAUUAUAGUACUUAUAUAUUAGCUAUGAUAUAAACAUUCAAUUAGAAUUCUGUUGAAAAAUAUUUCCUUGGGAGGUAAUUCAUCUAUAUAGACAUACAGGAAUAUCAAUUUGGGUUAUAAAAUUAUGAUAGUAUUAUUUAUAAUUAUUUCAUUACAGUUAUAAGGUUACUGGAAAGAAAAUUUUUAGGGUCUGGGAGAUGACUCAAGCUACCAAUGUAGUUGUUGCAUAGACACAAGGACCCAAGGUCGGACGCUAGCACCCAGUAAAAGGCCAGGUGCAGCAACACACCUGUCAUCCCAGAUGUAAAAGGCCAGGUGCAGCAACACACCUGUCAUCCCAGAUGUAAAAGGUCAGGUGCAGCAGCACACCUGUCAUCCCAGAUGUAAAAGGCCAGGUGCAGCAGCACACCUGUCAUCCCAGAUGUAAAAGGCCAGGUGCAGCAGCAUACCUGUCAUCCCAGAUGUAAAAGGCCAGGUGCAGCAGCACACCUGUCAUCCCAGAUGUAAAAUGCCAGGUGCAGAGGCACACCUGUCAUCCCAGAUGUAAAAGGCCAGGUACAGAGGCACACCUGUCAUCCCAGAUGUAAAAGGCCAGGUGCAGCAGCACACCUGUCAUCCCAGAUGUAAAAUGCCAGGUGCAGAGGCACACCUGUCAUCCCAGAUGUAAAAGGCCAGGUACAGAGGCACACCUGUCAUCCCAGAUGUAAAAGGCCAGGUGCAGCAGCACACCUGUCAUCCCAGAUGUAAAAUGCCAGGUGCAGUAGCACAGCUGUCAUCCCAGAGCUAGAGAGGCAGAGACAGGAUACUUGGGUCUUGGUGCCAGCCAGUCUAGCCAAACUGGCAAGCUUUAAACUCAGUGAGAGAUCCUCUCUCAAAAGAUAGGGUGGAGAACAAUAGAGGGAGAGACCAGAUGUUUACCUCUGGCCUCUCUUGCAUAUACACGUGUACACAACCAUAAAAGUGUAAUAUGAAAUACAAUUUAAAAAUACAACUGUAACUCAUUCUAACUGAACCACUUCCCUGCUGGAUAGAAUCUGACCAGUGCAUACCUAACACAGAAAAGAAGCUCCAUUCUUUUAAGCCCAGGGUGUAAUUAGAACUUAUGCUGCUCUUUGCUAAUGGCAUUCCCUUGGUGUAAUAGCAAGGCUUUACUAUUUCUGAUAAUACCUGAAGGUUUUCUUCUGUUGUUACCCAAUGGCCUCCGACACCAAGAAGUGUGAUGAUGUCAUGCUUAUGUGGCAGAUGUAACUUUACAGCUGGUUCAUCAUCUUUACUAUAUAAUCUCACUUACAAAUGAGUAAGU
RNAcentral lists this long non-coding RNA (2524 nucleotides) under Mus musculus (house mouse). Its description in RNAcentral is "long non-coding RNA chr16:91691793-91694317". Lineage: Eukaryota; Metazoa; Chordata; Mammalia; Rodentia; Muridae. The record is from RNAcentral.